RNAcentral lists this ribosomal RNA (252 nucleotides) under uncultured bacterium. RNAcentral's name for it is "partial 16S ribosomal RNA". It matches the Rfam family "Bacterial small subunit ribosomal RNA", at positions 524 to 776 of the family's 1533-position model. The record is from RNAcentral.
UACGUAGGGUGCAAGCGUUAUCCGGAAUUAUUGGGCGUAAAGAGCUCGUAGGCGGUUUGUCGCGUCUGCUGUGAAAACUGGGGGCUCAACCCCCAGCCUGCAGUGGGUACGGGCAGACUAGAGUGCGGUAGGGGAGAUUGGAAUUCCUGGUGUAGCGUGGAAUGCGCAGAUAUCAGGAGGAACACCGAUGGCGAAGGCAGAUCUCUGGGCCGUAACUGACGCUGAGGAGCGAAAGCAUGGGGAGCGAACAGG